AUACGGAGGGUGCGAGCGUUACUCGGAGUCACUGGGCGUAAAGCGUCCGUAGGCGGUCGGGUAAGUCGGGUGUGAAAGCCCCGGGCUCAACCUGGGAAGUGCACCCGAUACUGCUCGACUCGAGUGCGGGAGAGGAUGGCGGAAUUCCCGGUGUAGAGGUGAAAUGCGUAGAGAUCGGGAGGAACACCAGUGGCGAAGGCGGCCAUCUGGCCCGCAACUGACGCUGAGGGACGAAAGCGUGGGGAGCAAACAGGAUUAGAAACCCUAGUAGUCC
This 274-nucleotide ribosomal RNA is filed under the name uncultured bacterium. RNAcentral's name for it is "partial 16S ribosomal RNA". It matches the Rfam family "Bacterial small subunit ribosomal RNA", at positions 523 to 796 of the family's 1533-position model. The record is from RNAcentral.